AAACGGAGCGCGUGCAUAUGUGGUGCGUAAAAAUCGGAGUUCGUAUGCCAAAGUUAUGGGUAUUUUCGUGUGAGAGGUAUUUUGGUCAUUUCAUCACACCUUAAUUAUAAGGGGCUGAUCAGCCCCAUUUCCAGCCAUUCUCCCCAUCCCUUACGACAGAAACCAGAAAGAAAAAGAGAGAGAGAGAGAGAGAGAGAGAGAGAGAGAGAGAGAGAGAGAGAGAGAGAGAGAGAGAGAGAGAGAGAGAGAGAGAGAGAGAGAGAGAGAGAGAGAGAGAGAGAGAGAGAGAGAGAGAGAGAGAGAGAGAGAGAGAGAGAGAGAGAGAGAGAGAGAGAGAGAGAUCUUCCGGUGCCGAUUCCGGCAAUUUCCGGCAGCAAAAAUGGGCGACGUACCGAGUUAUUGCUCGACGAAGGAAUUCGUAUGCGUGAUCGCCUGAAUAGUACAUUUGCAGGCGAAAUUAGUUGAGGUCGGGCGUACAUAGAAUUGAGGCAUAGUCAACAGCAUGGCUUCCGCGUUUGCCCUUGAAUUAGAAUGUUGGAGCAUGAUGAGGGCUAGUGGAUGGUAGAAUUAAUCUCUUGUUCAGGAGAUCUUCAAUAUCUUUUCUGAAUUCUUUUUUAUGUUCCUCUUUAUAUUGAGCAAUGGCUUUGACAUGGCAUAUAAC
Long non-coding RNA from Rosa rugosa (rugosa rose), 661 nucleotides. RefSeq lists it as uncharacterized. The record is from RefSeq and is a predicted model, not a curated record. Lineage: Eukaryota; Viridiplantae; Streptophyta; Magnoliopsida; Rosales; Rosaceae. The transcript is spliced from 4 exons.